Molecule: ribosomal RNA, 253 nt
Filed under: uncultured bacterium
Lineage: Bacteria
Description: partial 16S ribosomal RNA
Rfam family: Bacterial small subunit ribosomal RNA
Source: RNAcentral
GACGUAGGGGACGAGCGUUGUCCGGAUUUAUUGGGCGUAAAGCGCGCGCAGGCGGCCACGUAAGUCGGAUGUGAAAUCCCGGGGCUCAACCCCGGAACUGCAUUCGAUACUGCGUGGCUCGAGGUAGGUAGGGGAGAUCGGAAUUCCUGGUGUAGCGGUGGAAUGCGCAGAUAUCAGGAGGAGCACCGGUGGCGAAGGCGGAUCUCUGGGCCUUACCUGACGCUCAGGCGCGAAAGCUAGGGGAGCGAACAGG